AACGAACGUUGGCGGCGUGGAUUAGGCAUGCAAGUCGUACGCGAAAGAGGGAGCAAUCCCUUGAGUAAAGUGGCGAACGGGUGAGUAACGCGUAGGAAACCUGCCUUCGAGAUGGGGAUAACAUUCCUAACGGGGUGCUAAUACCGAAUGACACUGCGAAAUCGCAAUGGUUUUGCAGUCAAAGGUGGCCUCUGCUUGCAAGCUACCACUCGAAGAUGGUCCUGCGUCCCAUUAGCUAGUUGGCGGGGUAAUGGCCCA
RNAcentral lists this ribosomal RNA (258 nucleotides) under uncultured bacterium. RNAcentral's name for it is "partial 16S ribosomal RNA". It matches the Rfam family "Bacterial small subunit ribosomal RNA", at positions 29 to 267 of the family's 1533-position model. The record is from RNAcentral.